UUAUAAUGAAAUUUAUGUCAACAGGUCGUCAUUCCUCGUUUGGCGAAUCUGCACUUGUCCUGCAUUAACAUUCAUGAGAUAUGGCACCACCCCUCUUCCCAAUCUGUCGGAUGCCUAAAACACUUGCAAGUGAAGAGGUGUCACAAUUUGAAAUACCUGUUCCCGUCUUUCUUGGUAAAAGAUCUUGUGCAACUCCGACGCCUUAAAAUUUUGGAAUGUAAUAUGAUGGAACAAGUAAUAUUCACGGAUGGAUUGGUUGAGGAACAUCAAGGGAGGAAUCGGAUGUUUUUCUCUAAUCUACAGUUGCUGUGGCUAAAAGACCUUCCCAAGCUCACAAGGUUGUGCUUUGAAAAUUACUUUGAAUUCCAAUGUUUGACAGAUUUAGAACUAACAAAUUGUCCAUUGCUAAAAACAUUCAUCACUAAAUAUGUAUCGGAAGAUGAACCUGAAAUUGGCCAACAUGUACAAGCAAGUAACUUGGAGGUUCAUAACUCAUCUCUCCUCAAUGAAAAGGUUGUUUUCCCUAGUUUGGAGAAGUUGCGGAUUCAGAAUUGUGAUUCGUUAGAACAAAUUAUUGAGCUGCAAGGAGUCAUUGCUGAUGAGUCACAGUCAACAUCAGCUGCUCAAUCUACUAUGGCUGAAACAGAGACGACCAAGUUUGUAUUUCCCAGACUAAUAAACCUUGGAUUGGAUAAGGUGCCGAGAAUGAAAAAAAAAUUUCUACUCUAGGAUGCAUACCACCCAGUGGCCUUCAUUGAAAAAAAUGGACAUUAUUGAAUGCCCCAAAGUGCAGAUAUUUACUCCACAAUGUCCUGAGAGUCAGGUUGGAAUCUCAAACCAACAACCCUUGUUUUUGCGUCAAUGAGGACACUUUCCCUGUAUUAGAAGAACUAACAGUGAAGACGAAUGAUAUGGUGAAGGGGAUAUGCGAUGGACAACUCUCAUUGCAGUGUUUCCAAAACCUUAAACAUCUUAACCUCCAAUUCUUUCCUGAGGCAUCCACUACUCUUCCAUAUUCCUUCAUUCGGUCACUACCAAUGCUUCAUAAGCUUGUUAUAGUCAAUGCUUCCAUUUGUCAAAUAGUACAAUCUGAAGGACUCAGCAACCAGGAAAGGCAUACAUCAGCAUUCUAUCAUCUAAAGGAAUUAAGUUUGUCCCAACUUCCAGGGUUAACGUUUAAGACUUUUGAACCGUUUUUGCUGUCUUUCAAAAAUCUAACAACACUGGAAGUUUCAAGAUGCCAUGGGUUCAUCAACUUAAUCGCAUGCUCAACAGCUAAGUGCCUGACGCUUCUGGAAAGAUUGAGCAUAGAUGAUUGUGAGAUGAUAGAGGAAAUCAUAGCGUGUGAGGUUGAAGAAAUACAAGGCGGCAUUGUAUUUCCCAAACUGAAGUGUUUGCAACUAAGCUGUCUGCCAUGUCUAGCAAGCUUUUCCUUGGCCCAUCACUCGUUGGAAUUCCCAGUCUUGCUAAUGGUGAAGGUGACAAAGUGCCCCAAAAUGAGGAAUUUCUGCCAAGGAGAUUUAAGCGCACCAAGGCUGGAACAAAUGCACUUAACAAGAGAUGAGGAAGGUGAACUGCAGUGGGAAGGCGACCUUAACACUACCAUAGAACAUAUGUUCGAUGAAAUGAAUGCGCAAAAUUCUGAUGUGACGGAGGUUACUGAUCAGUUGCCCAAGUUGGAAUAAGGAAAUAUGUUUGAGUGCUUAUGCGGAAAGCUCAAUUUCGUUUGAAUUCAAAACAAAUGGUUGAGUUGCUCUACUGAAGCACCUGGCUGCAACUGUUCUCUUUCACAUCCAAACCUCAAUAUUGAAUUUCAAGUGCAUCAUGCAUAGCAUUGGGAACUACAAACAUCUCCAUUUGGUCAACUCUCAAGCUCAAGUGUUGCUUGAGUCUGCUGAUCUACAGGAUGCUGUAUUUCAUCUUCAAUUUUAGUGUCAACAAAGGUUUGAGAAGGUUGAUGGUCAUCCCAAUUCGAAGUCCCCGACCAGAUCCAUGAACACUUUUGUAUAAAAAGAAUAUAGUUGAAUUGACGUAGUUUAGUUCCACAAGUUCAAACUUCAAAUUAAUACGAGUGUAUUGUUAAAAGUUUUCGUCUUCUGCAUUACUUGUUAGUUUAUGUCUUUUAAUUCAUUGAGAAGUAACAAGCAUGUAUGGAUGUCAAUGUCCUACCAUAAUUGUCUUCUAAAGAACUUUAUAAGGAAAGCUAUGCCACUCUAUUCUUUAA
Molecule: RNA transcript, 2224 nt
Organism: Gossypium arboreum
Lineage: Eukaryota; Viridiplantae; Streptophyta; Magnoliopsida; Malvales; Malvaceae
Gene name: disease resistance protein UNI-like
Exons: 6
Source: RefSeq, a predicted model, not a curated record